RNAcentral lists this ribosomal RNA (253 nucleotides) under uncultured bacterium. Its description in RNAcentral is "partial 16S ribosomal RNA". It matches the Rfam family "Bacterial small subunit ribosomal RNA", at positions 524 to 776 of the family's 1533-position model. The record is from RNAcentral.
UACGUAGGAUGCUAGCGUUGUCCGGAUUUACUGGGCGUAAAGCGCGCGCAGGCGGCACUGUAAGUAAGGUGUGAAAUCUCCCUGCUCAACGGGGAGGGUGCACUUUAGACUGCAGAGCUAGAGGACGGUAGGGGGGACUGGAACUCUCGGUGGAGCGGUGAAAUGCGUAGAUAUCGAGAGGAACACCGGCGGCGAAGGCGAGUCCCUGGUCCGUUUCUGACGCUGAGGCGCGAAAGCGUGGGUAGCAAACAGG